GGGAGGCAGCAGUGGGGAAUAUUGGACAAUGGGGGCAACCCUGAUCCAGCCAUGCCGCGUGUGUGAAGAAGGCCCUCGGGUUGUAAAGCACUUUCAGCGAGGAAGAACGCCUGUCGGUUAAUACCCGGCAGGAAAGACAUCACUCGCAGAAGAAGCACCGGCUAACUCCGUGCCAGCAGCCGCGGUAAUACGGAGGGUGCAAGCGUUAAUCGGAAUUACUGGGCGUAAAGCGCGCGUAGGUGGCUUGAUAAGCCGGUUGUGAAAGCCCCGGGCUCAACCUGGGAACGGCAUCCGGAACUAUGAGGCUAGAGUGCAGGAGAGGAAGGUAGAAUUCCCGGUGUAGCGGUGAAAUGCGUAGAGAUCGGGAGGAAUACCAGUGGCGAAGGCGGCCUUCUGGACUGACACUGACACUGAGGUGCGAAAGCGUGGGUAGCAAACAGGAUUAGAUACCCUGGUAGUCC
RNAcentral lists this ribosomal RNA (461 nucleotides) under Vreelandella janggokensis. Its description in RNAcentral is "bacterial SSU rRNA". It matches the Rfam family "Bacterial small subunit ribosomal RNA", at positions 343 to 796 of the family's 1533-position model. The record is from RNAcentral. Lineage: Bacteria; Pseudomonadati; Pseudomonadota; Gammaproteobacteria; Oceanospirillales; Halomonadaceae.